AUUGAACGCUGGCGGCAUGCCUUACACAUGCAAGUCGAACGGCAGCACGGGAGCAAUCCUGGUGGCGAGUGGCGAACGGGUGAGUAAUAUAUCGGAACGUGCCCAGUCGUGGGGAUAACGUAGCGAAAGCUACGCUAAUACCGCAUACGAUCUAUGGAUGAAAGCGGGGGAUCGCAAGACCUCGCGCGAUUGGAGCGGCCGAUAUCAGAUUAGGUAGUUGGUGAGGUAAAGGCUCACCAAGCCGACGAUCUGUAGCUGGUCUGAGAGGACGACCAGCCACACUGGGACUGAGACACGGCCCAGACUCCUACGGGAGGCAGCAGUGGGGAAUUUUGGACAAUGGGCGCAAGCCUGAUCCAGCAAUGCCGCGUGCAGGAUGAAGGCCUUCGGUUGUAACUGCUUUGUACGGAACGAAACGGUGAGCUCUAAUACAG
This 434-nucleotide ribosomal RNA is filed under the name uncultured bacterium. RNAcentral's name for it is "bacterial SSU rRNA". It matches the Rfam family "Bacterial small subunit ribosomal RNA", at positions 30 to 469 of the family's 1533-position model. The record is from RNAcentral.